RNAcentral lists this ribosomal RNA (253 nucleotides) under uncultured bacterium. Its description in RNAcentral is "partial 16S ribosomal RNA". It matches the Rfam family "Bacterial small subunit ribosomal RNA", at positions 524 to 776 of the family's 1533-position model. The record is from RNAcentral.
UACGGAGGAUGCAAGCGUUAUCCGGAAUGAUUGGGCGUAAAGCGUCCGCAGGUGGCUGUGUAAGUCUGCUGUUAAAGAGUCUAGCUCAACUAGAUACAAGCAGUGGAAACUACACGGCUAGAGUACGUUCGGGGCAGAGGGAAUUCCUGGUGUAGCGGUGAAAUGCGUAGAGAUCGGCAGGAACACCCAGGGGGAAACCAGUCGACUGGGCGGCACCUGACGCUGAGGUGCGAGAGCGUGGGGAGCGAACCGG